GAUGAACGCUGGCGGCGUGCCUAAUACAUGCAAGUCGAGCGAACAGACGAGGAGCUUGCUCCUCUGACGUUAGCGGCGGACGGGUGAGUAACACGUGGAUAACCUACCUAUAAGACUGGGAUAACUUCGGGAAACCGGAGCUAAUACCGGAUAAUAUAUUGAACCGCAUGGUUCAAUAGUGAAAGACGGUUUUGCUGUCACUUAUAGAUGGAUCCGCGCCGCAUUAGCUAGUUGGUAAGGUAACGGCUUACCAAGGCAACGAUGCGUAGCCGACCUGAGAGGGUGAUCGGCCACACUGGAACUGAGACACGGUCCAGACUCCUACGGGAGGCAGCAGUAGGGAAUCUUCCGCAAUGGGCGAAAGCUUGACGGAGCAACGCCGCGUGAGUGAUGAAGGUCUGCGGAUCGUAAAACUCUGUUAUUAGGGAAGAACAAAUGUGUAAGUAACUAUGCACGUCUUGACGGUACCUAAGCAGAAAGCCACGGCUAACUACGU
RNAcentral lists this ribosomal RNA (496 nucleotides) under uncultured bacterium. Its description in RNAcentral is "partial 16S ribosomal RNA". It matches the Rfam family "Bacterial small subunit ribosomal RNA", at positions 28 to 506 of the family's 1533-position model. The record is from RNAcentral.